AAGCAUUAUACAGCGAAACUGCGAAUGGCUCAUUAAAUCAGUUAUCGUUUAUUUGAUAGUACCUUACUACUUGGAUAACCGUGGUAAUUCUAGAGCUAAUACAUGCUAAAAACCCCGACUCACGAAGGGGUGUAUUUAUUAGAUUAAAAACCAAUGCCCUUUCGGGGCUCUCUGGUGAUUCAUAAUAACUUCUCGAAUCGCAUGGCCUUGUGCCGGCGAUGGUUCAUUCAAAUUUCUGCCCUAUCAACUUUCGAUGGCAGGGUCUUGGCCUGCCAUGGUUACAACGGGUAACGGAGGGUUAGGGCUCGACCCCGGAGAAGGAGCCUGAGAAACGGCUACUACAUCCAAGGAAGGCAGCAGGCGCGCAAAUUACCCAAUCCCGAUUCGGGGAGGUAGUGACAAUAAAUACUGAUACAGGGCUCUUUUGGGUCUUGUAAUUGGAAUGAGUACAAUUUAAAUCCCUUAACGAGGAACAAUUGGAGGGCAAGUCUGGUGCCAGCAGCCGCGGUAAUUCCAGCUCCAAUAGCGUAUAUUAAAGUUGUUGCAGUUAAAAAGCUCGUAGUUGAACCUUGGGCCUGGCUGGCCGGUCCGCCUCACCGCGUGCACUGGUUCGGCCGGGCCUUUCCCUCUGGGGAGCCUCAUGCCCUUCACUGGGUGUGUUGGGGAACCAGGACUUUUACUGUGAAAAAAUUAGAGUGUUCAAAGCAGGCCUAUGCUCGAAUACAUUAGCAUGGAAUAAUAGAAUAGGACGUGUGGUUCUAUUUUGUUGGUUUCUAGGACCGCCGUAAUGAUUAAUAGGGACAGUCGGGGGCAUUAGUAUUCAAUUGUCAGAGGUGAAAUUCUUGGAUUUAUUGAAGACUAACUACUGCGAAAGCAUUUGCCAAGGAUGUUUUCAUUAAUCAGGAACGAAAGUUAGGGGAUCGAAGACGAUCAGAUACCGUCGUAGUCUUAACCAUAAACUAUGCCGACUAGGGAUCGGACGGUGUUAUUUUUUGACCCGUUCGGCACCUUACGAGAAAUCAAAGUCUU
Molecule: ribosomal RNA, 1029 nt
Filed under: Microdochium chrysanthemoides
Lineage: Eukaryota; Fungi; Ascomycota; Sordariomycetes; Xylariales; Microdochiaceae
Description: SSU rRNA
Rfam family: Eukaryotic small subunit ribosomal RNA
Source: RNAcentral